CGCACUAGGCUGGUUUUUACUUAUCAUUAAUUUAAUUUGCUUUAUGCAUUCAAUAAAAAUAAAUAUCGGUGACCAUGUUAUUUAGGCACUCUACCUAUAAAGUAUUUUCAACUCACGAUACACUUAAUUUAGUGAAAUUGAUUCAAAAGCCAGAACUCUAAUAAAUUUAAGGUCUCGUUACCACAAAAACGAUUUUACAAAACGACCCGACAGCCCGCGGCUAUAAUACGUGUCAAUAAUUCUCGUUGGUUUCCUUUCUUCGCCCAAUGUAAACAAACUCAUCUCCAACGGUACAACUUUCCAAAAAAACACGUUUACUACUAAUUAACUUUACGAUGCAGGGAAGGGAGUCGAAAUAAAUCAAAAGUGUACAAAUUAACCUCGAACCGAGUCGAAGACGCAUUAAAAAUAAAUUAUUCCCAACUCUCGACACACUUCAAAUCAAAAUUGGUAACAGAUAAAAACUGGUCGAAUAAACAUAAAGCUGGUCAUAGAAAUGCCCGGUAAUGAACUGUCCGAAUUCGAAUUUCGAAAUUCAAAUUGCGAAGCGCGUGGGUACAAGUGGGUGUGCUUCGCUGCCAACUGUGUAAACUUUAUCGAUUCGGUUAUAUUUCAAGAUCAUUUCAGGUUAUACAUAUCGAUUUUCGCAUGUCAUUAUAUGAUUGUUAAUCGCUCUGUUGCUAUGCUGCUUUAACAAUUAAUAAUGGCGUUGAGUCACUGUGUGUUUAAGAUGUUCUCGUUCGACCGCCGAGUCAUUAGAAUGAUGGGUGUGAAACUUUUAUGGUAUCAUAAAUCUACGUUCGCAAUGUGUUUGCUGCCCAUUUUAGCUUAACGCUAAACGAACGUUCCCUAUGCCCGUUCACACGUGAAAAUAAACGUCGUCAAAACGGAUAUUUCAGACAUAUUUAUUGACUGAGAUGGGACGUGAGCUUCCACGUCGAGUAAAUUAAGCCCAGUAAUGUCCACUGGUCCGUGAACGCGUACCUAUCAAUUAAUAAUUUCGAAAAAAAACAUCGGCAGCUACGCCACAUGUCGUAUCGGUAGGCCGAAACGAAAAAGUACAAAACGCUCUUUAUUAAAAUUUUAAGACACGGCACUUCUCUUCGAGGCGUACUUAUAGCCAGCACUACGGCACUAUCUCGCAAGCGAUUCAAGAGGACACACAUGCGUUACGCGGCUCAACUACCGAUCAUUGCGUCUCUCGCUCGCGCGCGUAACACCCACUCGCUCUAGUGUACGACGCGAUGUCGGUCGCGGUCCGCUCGUCACGUAAACCUACCGCAUAGGAGCUAGAUUGGCGCGUCGCGUAUUCAAAAUAGGAACGUUAGUAAUGGAUGCGAGGUAUAUUGCGGGGUGUGUGUGUGCGUGCCCCUCCCCCGCGCCCCGCCGACGCCGCGGCGUUUACACAAUCCGUUGGCUCCGAGAGCGCACGGUCGCACCCGGCCCGCGGCGCGCGCCGAGCGAACACGUAUCGCCUAUUGUUUUUUUAACACGCAACUUCGCCUUCGGACUUAGCGCGUUCGGCCCAACUUAUAAGAAGCGUUCGGACUAGAACUUAUUGGAAGCUUAGGCUUAGUGUCUAACCUUAGUGAUAACAUUUUUUUCUUAGGGCUUUAAAAAUGUGAUGAAGUUUUUCGGCUGAAAGUGAGGAGCAGUGCUACAGUGUCGGAAUGUCAAAGAAGAAAAGGCGAUAUUAGUGCCGAGGAAUAAAAUUUAAUGAAAAUUAAUAAAAAAUAAGAAUAUGAAGUUCAUCACUACAUCUAAAUCUAACAUCAUCAUUUAAUGAUAGCAACCAGCUCGGGAGAGAACUAUCGUAUUUGGAAGGCAACCUGUCGGUGGGACAUUUGGUGAGCGCUCGUUCAUUCUUUACCCUUUUUUGUACCACUUUUUAAGGUAAAAAAUGUAAAUAAUACGUUCUUUUGAAACCGUCGAGAUACGAGUGGGGUAAAGUUUGAGGGACACUUAGGCGAGGUAUUUGAUCGUUUUGUGAGAGUUAAGAACUUAGUAUUUGUGGAAUGUUGACUUUAUUUAUGAACUGAAGUAAAGGAAUCAAGUUAAAUGUUUAUAUUUUAGUAGGAAUUUUUUUUAUAUAAAAUAUUGCCAAUAUAGAAACUUUCAUUACCGUUCAUAUCCGUUUCUAACAAUAAAAAACACUCGUCAUGACUUCCUAUAAUUAUACCUCUCGCGUCGAAUGACGAUCCCUAUGACAGUGUCAUUCUUUUGGUUAGGUUUAAUUUUAAACAUGUUUUUACGAUAUUUAUUUUACUUCAAUCUUGUAACAUUUUAAAUAAAUUGUCUAAAUAAAUUAUUAUACUAAACUUCCAGAAACUGUCUACAAACAUUUUAGGUGACAUCUAUUCUGUAUAAAAAUGAAUUGUAAUUCGACUGAAUAAAAAGAUUGAAAAAGGACAUGUAUGUGAUUGGCACUUACGUCACUUAUUCAAUACAUUUACAAAUAAUCGCAUGCGAAUAAUCAUUUCAGCGUAUUUAAUCGUUAAUUAAUUUUGAACCGGUAGCAUUAACUUUUGAUAACAUCUGUCGUUUCCAAUUUAUCGAUAAGACUUAUCUUGUAUUGAUUAAGGAUAUAAUGCUGACAAUUAACCAAAUGCAUUUCAAUGUUAAUUACUCGUAUUUCUUGUUAUAACGAAUGAAAGACUGAAUUUUAUUACAACUUACUUUUUUUUUACUCACGGCUUAAGUCAAUUACCAAUCUAGGUGUAAUUAGAACUUAGUUUGUUAAUAAUUUAUUCGUUAAUAUUAUUUGCAGUUAUUAUGGUAGUAUGUUAAUAGUUUUUAUUAAAUAUAUUAUUUUUCGUUAUAUAGGUUAAAAUGAUCAAAAAAGCACUAGUUAUGCAGGACAAAGAAAUAGCUUACGUUGAGCUGUGCUUCAACACGGGGAAUCAUUAAAUGGUUUGAAAGCUGAAAAAUAGUAGCCUAUAUCAAUCUGUUUGAAAAAAUGAGUACGAUUUGUUUAUUUAACUUUAUUACACAAAAUAUGUACAACAAUGUUCAUAUGGUAGACUUAAUGCCACAUGGAAUUCUCUACGAGUCAACCAGAUACACAUAAACGUAGUAUAGGUACAUUUGAUGCAGAGAGAAAAGUAUAUUGAAUGAAUAAAAAAAAAUAAACUACAUACAUUACAUUAAUAAAUAAAAUACGAGUAAUUUAAUCUUAAAUUGGUUCCGAAAUCCAAAACUACUUACUCAAUUCAACAUUAAUCGUUUUAUCCAAAAAUCACCCUACACCCCGUGUACCCCCAUCCGAACCCAACCGCUUGAACUUAAGUGCAGGUAUCUUCACGUUUUUUUUUUCUUUUUUGCCCCGAAAUAGGCUAUAACCUAUUUAUUUUACUUUUUAAAUUGGGGACAGGAUAAACGUUCAUUAAGGGUCGAGAAGGGUUGGUAAGAUGUUUAAACGUAGCCAUAUGCAGGGUUGGGUAUCGAGGUCAACUCGAUUUAUUACACGGCGAAAAAAGAUGGCGGAGACCGUAGCUAAUGGACGCUUGAAAUUCCAGACUCACAUUUGCGUUUCUGAAAUUUUAUACAAUGAUUCACCUUCUUAUACAGCAUAAGGGACAAGCAUCCCCAUAACAGGGCCUUACCAACAACAAUUACAGGUGUUUAGCGGCAGAUUUCCGAUUUCAAAUUCAAAUAAUUUUCGAACGCGAAGUGCGGGGGGUCGCGGGGGAGUGUUUUAGUUUAUUAGAUGAGCGGAUUGAUAGAUUACAAUGGAUGGAUCGCUGGCCAGCAGAGUAUCGUGCAUAUAUGGUAUUGAGUCGUAUCGUAUUCGUACCAAAGGCUUUCCGCUUAGUAGGUUAGGUACCGUAAGGCGUAAGUUUUGCAGAAUAGGCGAUUAAAGUUGGAGGAUACGUAAAUAGUGAAGGUCGACUUCUAGAAAAUGUGAUUUUCAAAAAAAAAAUCGCAUUCUUCUUUUCAUUGUUUAAGUUUAUAUUUUUAUGUUUUUAUCAAAUUGAAAUUGGAAAUAUGACCGCUGGACACCUUGUUUAAAGAAUUAACACUAAUUUUACAUUUGGUAUCGAAUGUGUCAAUGUGUCAUUCCGUUAAAAAAAGCAUCUUAGGAUGGUUGGCGUUUACGACAAACUAUAACUUAAGCGGCAAUUUAGUCCAGAUUAUACGAAACAUUUUCCCGCAAUUAUUAUACUUCAUUAAAAUAGUAUCUUCAAUUAGUAUUAACAACUAAGUUUCUCGUGUGUAACGCUACUUUUAACGCACACUUUAUUGCGUGAAAUCACGAAAGCAAUCGGUCGGUACUUUCCAAAACGACGUAAAAGCAAUAUUUAAAAGAAAUCUACGCAAAAUUGUACAGCGAAGUCAGAAAUGGUCCAUUCACGAUUACCGCGCUUGCCGUCACAUUUAGGAAUACUUUAAUACGGAUUAAAUUGUGUAUAUUUCACGACGGCCAGCUAGUUGUUGUUGUUCAAUCCAAAUUAGACUUAAAUAGAACGAAUUAAGGUUUAUUUUUUGAUGAUCUUUGCUCGUGCGCUCUAAAGAAGUGCAUGUGAAUUCGAGAUGUGGACCGCUUUAUGCAAUAAUUUAAAUUACUUUUAGUACUUGUAACUCUCGUUAUUAAUAAUAUAAUUGUUUGAAAUAAAUUUAUCAUGAAUGUUACUAGAUUUUAUAGCUGAGUUAAAGAUUUAUGCAUUUUGCAAUAGUAAACAGUAAGUGAAAUAGAUUUAAUAGUCGUUAAGGCGUCAAGCUAAUUUAUUUCCUUUCACUGUAAAGUGUAAGCAAGUCGUAAAUGCUGUUUCGUAAAAAGGAAUUCAUAGUAUAGAUGGCGCUUAGGCCGCUAUAAACGCGAUUUAAAUGAGAUAUUUUAUUAUCUAACGGCCAGUCAACUUAAACACUCUCUUUACAUGAUACAGAACAUAAUAGUACAAUUUAAUGAGAAAGAAUAUAACUGAAACGCUUUAUAGAGUAAAUAAGGACUGGCUUUAUAUCUAAUUAGAAAUUAUUUCUUAUACGUUAUACUUACUGACAGUAAGGUCAAGGCAGUUUCGGAGAUAGCCCACCUGGUUUUUUUGUUAGCUUAGAAUGUUCAAUGAUAUCUAAAAUAUUUGUUAAGAAAGAGUACAGGGUUAGGACGGAACACGCUUACGACUUACGGUCACUUUCGUGCACAAUGAAAUAAAACAUGAUACAAUAUUUUAAAUACUUAACAUGUGUUGUAUAAACUCGACCCACGACACCUGCUACAAGACCGGUGCGGAGAAAAAGGGCCAAGUUUUUAUAAACAACUAUUAUACGAAAAAACGAAUCGUGGGAGUAUACACUUUGUUUAUGGUUCCGGUGGCGUAAACAUGCUUUUCUGUUUACAACUAGGAUAACAAAGUAUGUGUGCCUCAGUAAUGGGCGUUUUACUUAUAUUAAUAACUAGCUUCGUAUAUAAUAUAGGGCACCCCCUUUUCUUACCUGAUAGUGUUCUCGUAUCGUUUACUUAAUCUCCAUUUCUGGGAUAAAAUAUACCUAGAUUUAAAAUUUAACCCAAAUUUGUAUUUUUGCGUGACUGAUUAUAGGUAGGUAUCACAUAAAAAACAUCUAAAUAUUCAUACAAACUUUCACAUCCACAGUUAUAUUAAGGUACAAUUCGAUUUGCCUUCUAAUGAAGAACAAUUGUAUGUACCAUACCAGUUUUGAGUAAAGUAAGCAUUUAUUUCUUAAAUAAACUAAUUAAUUAGUGUAACACGUAAUGAGCAUAUUUUGCAUGAGGUCUUUCGACUCCAUCCCGCAGUAAACGCUUUAAACUGCUUUCGCUCAAAUGCUCCUGCAGCAGAAUAUUUCCGAGCCCAAAUUACAAGUUUAAAUUCGAGUGCCAAUUUGUAACUUUUAACAUCUCGCAUCGAAUAGCAAUUUCGGAACCGGUUCCAUUCCAUAUUUGGUUUCGUUCUGACGAAAUUCGCUACGAUGUUGAGUAAGUUGGCGUAAAAAACUUAAUUUUGUUAUUUAAUCGGUAUCAAUUACAUUAAGUGUUAGGUUAGGGCACUCAAGGUCAGAAUUUAUUGUUAUUCAGACGCUUAUAAUGCCCUUUAGAACAAUUGCCACGCAUUUUUUGGCAACAUCUAUCCCGUACAAUCACAAUUCAUAAGACUAACUUCCUUAUUCACAAAACUUAGCAACCUCUUCAUUUUGACGUCUCUGUUUGUCAGAAAGAGAAAAACUUAGCAAAGGUUUGUAAUUUUGUCUCUUUCUGACAAACAGUAACGUCAAAAUGACGGAGAUCGAUUAUCAACAGUUUAUUAAAUUGGACAGACGUUCAUGAAUAUACUAUAGUUUUAGAACGCACAAGACGAAGUUUUGAGAAAAAAGGUAGUAAGUACAUUGGUUUUAGCCUUAUGAGCUUUUUUACUAACAUUCACGUCACCUUAAUUUUCAUUUUAAGUGCUUUUUCUGCUAGCAUCAUACAGGAGUUUAACGUUUUUUUCAUUCUAAUAGCUGACGUAGUUUUGAAUAAAACUUCCAUAAUAAUCCUGUUGAUGCAAUUCCGGUUUUCAAAAUGUUUUCUUAUAUGUAAAAACACCAUCAAUAAACGCUAUUUCGUUCUCAUCAGUUUACCUAGUAUUUCGUAAUAUACUAGAUUAACGUUGACUUCAAUUAUAUUGUUUACUUACUUGAUAUACACGUUUAAUACACACGUAUAUAAUUACAUAUUAAACUUAUGUACUAUAUUAUACAUACGCACUCAAUGAAUCAUAGAUCCAUACAGCGAUGCGGAAAACAAGUUAAUGUCUCAGAACACGUAUUUCUACAUUUUGUACCUAUGGAAUGUCGCAAUCAUGUACUACUAAUGCCCUUAGUAGUUAUUUCUUAUAAUUACUUUUCAACGGCUUUAGCUAUUAGUGUAUCUACGCUAUUAAACUAACAUUACACUUGGAAAUUUCCGUAGAAACUUUUAAAAGGUUUUAAUUAAAUUGUAAAUUAAGUUGCGUAUCGGAGAGGCGUUCUGAACCGGUUUUCAAUCUUAGAAUAGUCGCCAGUUGUUUGGUUCGAAAAUUAAAGUUUGCCCUUUCAAAAAAAUUAAAACGUUGCCUAUUUUUUAAGAGCUGCAAAUGACGUAAGCGCCAAUCUACAUAAAGUCCUUUUUAUAAGAAACAUUGUAUUUAGUUAUAAUUAUAACCGAUGUUUUUUGACGACAGUCAGAUGUUUUUUCUCAAGUUCCUCUUUUAAAAUAUUUAUAUGAUCGAAUUCGGUUAUGAUUUUUCCUCCUAUUCUAAAUUUAAACUUUCCUUUAUUCAAGCGUUUGGUCAAAACGAUUUUCCAGUCAUUGCUCGUUAGUAAAUUCGCGUCAUGUUUUCGUUCAAUGUAAUGUUCACUGCAAAAAAUAAAUUAAAUUUGCAACAUGCGUUUAUUUUAAAUUUAAACGUGCAUUACGAUACCACAUGUGGCCGACCACAUUAAUUUGCGCGCUUUUUGUCGUAUCGGACUAUUGGAGGUUUAAUGUCGUAUGUGCAAGUUGUUUUCAUAGUUUUAUACUCCAUCAUAAUAUUAAGUAUUGUGCAAUAAACAUCUAGUAUCAUCAUAUAGCGCUAUUAUUGCGAAUGAAACUUUAUAGACUUUAUAUAGUUUUAUAUUCCGUCAUGUGGUUUUGCGUAAAUUAGUUUAUUAAG
Molecule: long non-coding RNA, 7622 nt
Organism: Cydia pomonella (codling moth)
Lineage: Eukaryota; Metazoa; Arthropoda; Insecta; Lepidoptera; Tortricidae
Exons: 3
Source: RefSeq, a predicted model, not a curated record